AAAUAAGAAACGAAAAAUCGUAUUUAAUUUCGACUUAAACCCUUGUUUUAAAAAACCUUAUUUA
RNAcentral lists this transfer RNA (64 nucleotides) under Libnetis granicollis. Its description in RNAcentral is "tRNA-Arg". The record is from RNAcentral. Lineage: Eukaryota; Metazoa; Arthropoda; Insecta; Coleoptera; Lycidae.